Molecule: long non-coding RNA, 273 nt
Filed under: Nicotiana benthamiana
Lineage: Eukaryota; Viridiplantae; Streptophyta; Magnoliopsida; Solanales; Solanaceae
Description: long non-coding RNA (NBEN_LNC030431)
Source: RNAcentral
UGAUUGUUGCAAAAUGUUCUUAUGUGAGCCCUACUCCCUUGACUCCUGUUUGUGUAUGAGUUGUGUUUUACACUAGGAUGGCAGUCCAUUGCUAUCCAUAGUUUAGAACCAGGUUUCACUCAACCUAUACUCAAAGUAAUCCCACUCCCUUAACCCCCCAUUAUGUGUCGAGCUUUGACUCAGGUCUGUUGGUGCCCUAAUCACCAUGCAGACCUAAGUGUGACUUUUUUAAAUCUGCUCUAAUUUGUUAAACCAUGUUAGGGUCAGGGGCGU